ACGUGUACAUAAACAUAUUGUGCUGGUUCAGAAGGAAAGAGGAAUUUUGUGUAUUUGUCCUGAAAUAUGAACAUCAUCCAUUACUACGAUUCAGGUUGGGAAUAAUAUUCUCUGUCAAAUUUCAAUGACAUUGGCUAAGCAUCCAAUAGUGCAAGAUACAUUGUUCAGCGAGUGUGGUCAUCAAUGGAUAACCUAGAAAACCAAUUGGGAAAAGAAGAAAGCCAGAAACGACUGAUAGAAGAGCAAAAGGUUUCCUUGUCUGAUGUAGAUGCCAAUACCAGCACACUACCCCAUCGGUUCUGUUACAGGGGAGUACUUGUUGGCACCAAACAAUAGUCUGAACGAAACGGGGAUUUCCCCGGACACUUUGAGCUUCCGGGUCUGAACGGAAAGACCCGAAGUUCUGCGAAUCCUCGAUCGAUCCAAUCGAUGCUGCAACUCAGUGUUUCAUCAUGUUCUAAUUUCCACUUUGUUAUUUUAAAGUCACUUAUUAAACGUACUAUAUUCUUCGCUGUGUAUGUCAUAUUUUAAUAAAUUGAUUUAGCAAGG
Long non-coding RNA from Gigantopelta aegis, 549 nucleotides. RefSeq lists it as uncharacterized. The record is from RefSeq and is a predicted model, not a curated record. The transcript has 2 exons. NCBI's taxonomy places the organism in Eukaryota, Metazoa, Mollusca, Gastropoda, Neomphalida, Peltospiridae.